GGUGGCUCAGUGGUAGAGCGUUUGCCUUUCAUGCAUAAGGCCCUAGGUUCGAUUCCUCAGCACCA
This 65-nucleotide transfer RNA is filed under the name Dipodomys ordii (Ord's kangaroo rat). It matches the Rfam family "tRNA". From Rfam's summary of the family: Transfer RNA (tRNA) molecules are approximately 80 nucleotides in length. Lineage: Eukaryota; Metazoa; Chordata; Mammalia; Rodentia; Heteromyidae. The record is from Rfam by way of RNAcentral.